AUCAUCCCCGCGGGAGAGACCGGGAUCGGACUUGUCCGGACCCGGCGCCGAAGGCGCAACCGCCCCGGAAACGCUCAGGCAAACGGACCGCGUGGGAAUU
Molecule: regulatory RNA element, 100 nt
Rfam family: Glycine riboswitch aptamer
About the family: This family represents the bacterial glycine riboswitch. Glycine riboswitches usually consist of two metabolite-binding aptamers domains with similar structures in tandem.
Source: Rfam